CCAUAUCUGGAGUCCGUUUGGGGCUCCGAAGAGGGGAAUCUUCGGUCUUCAUCAUCACCAACCCUCCUUCAUCACCAAUUCCAUGAUGCUCCCCACUGGAGUGAGUAAUUCUAUCGUAGGCUCGCUGGUCAGUGAGGAGUUGGAUUAGAUUCAUCAUGUAAUUGAGUUAGUUUUGUUAGGGCUUGAUCCCUAGUAUCCAUCAUGUUCUGAGAUUGAUGUUUCUAUGACUUUGCCAUGCUUAAUGCUUGUCACUUUGGGCCCGGGUGCCAUGAUAUCAGAUCUGAACUGUUUAU
Molecule: long non-coding RNA, 293 nt
Filed under: Hordeum vulgare
Lineage: Eukaryota; Viridiplantae; Streptophyta; Magnoliopsida; Poales; Poaceae
Description: long non-coding RNA (HVUL_LNC012011)
Source: RNAcentral